This is a long non-coding RNA of Oryzias melastigma (Indian medaka), 354 nucleotides long. RefSeq lists it as uncharacterized. The transcript has 3 exons. NCBI's taxonomy places the organism in Eukaryota, Metazoa, Chordata, Actinopteri, Beloniformes, Adrianichthyidae. The record is from RefSeq and is a predicted model, not a curated record.
GUUUCCUUCAGUGACGUCAUCCAAAUCACCGCUCAGUGAAAUGUGGACAUCAAUUAAACGAUGCAGAGGUGGAGAAAAACCGGACCUAAGGCUUCCCAGAGGAGUAAAAGAAACAUUUGUGGAGCUGGAGUAGAGGAUUUUCUUCUUUGUUAUUCGCCUCUCUAAGAAGAUGGAUGGUAAAAGAGGAUCUGCUCCCCAGAGACCCUUUACAGCAAACUCCACAGGCUCCAUUUCUGUUUCCAGCGCAAUGAUUUACAUGUAGGAUUUAUGAAUGAGAGAAACUAAACGCCAUGACGGAUUUUACGUGGAAGUUUUUCCUCGCGUUUUUCCCCCUGACCCGGUGCUCCUUAGAGC